UGCGUAGGCGGCUUCUUAAGUCAGGGUGAAAUAUGUCGGCUCAACCGGCAAACGGCCCCUGAAACUGAGAGGCUUGAGUCCGGGAGAGGAAGGUGGAAUUCCUGGUGUAGCGGUGAAAUGCGUAAAUAUCAGGAGGAACACCGGUGGCGAAGGCGGCCUUCUGGCCCGGUACUGACGCUGAGGCACGAAAGCCAGGGGAGCGAACG
RNAcentral lists this ribosomal RNA (206 nucleotides) under uncultured bacterium. RNAcentral's name for it is "partial 16S ribosomal RNA". It matches the Rfam family "Bacterial small subunit ribosomal RNA", at positions 568 to 774 of the family's 1533-position model. The record is from RNAcentral.